CUUCAACUUAUUACAUAAGACAUAAUAGAAAAAUCUCUAGCUAGACACAAUCAAGGGAACAACCUACAACAAUGAAACCCUAGAAGCCCAGCCACCGUCAGAACACCUUAGAGCGCCGUCCCUCACCCUCCAGCCAAUGACCAUAACUCCAGCUCCAAUAUCCGCCGUCUCUCACAUCAAACGACAACCAAACACACCUCUGAACCCUUCAGCACAUUAGACAAAGCCUAGAGAGCAAAAACGGGCCAACCACUGGACUUGCCGGUAAAGACCAGCCAGCAGCCCCAAACCUGCCGAAAUCCUCCGUCGAUCUCAUUUUCUUUAACCUAGAAUAGGUUGUAGUCUGAGGUCUCGUUCAGCCAUACGUCGAGGUUGCUGUCCGAGUUUCUGUUGCUGUUUUCAUCCUGUACGUGCUGUAAUUCGCUCGAUUUUGGCUUAAAGGUCUUGUACGACUUUCAAGCAUCGAAGAAAAUAUCAUAACUCCUUUUGAGGUUCAUUCCUCUCUUUGUUCUUGAUUUAGAUACUGUGCAUGUGUUUGUGAUUGAUUUUUAAUGAAAUGAAUGUUAUUUGUUUGUUCUUUUUUUUUUUAUAAUCCGCUUUGGUUGGUUUGAUUGUUGAGCGUCCUUUUCGAUCCACAAUUGCAUAUGAGAAUAACACUAAAAUCAGCUCAUUAAUUCAUUAAUAGUGUGAAAUGGCCAAGUGACUAGUUUGAUUUGAAAAGCUGUGUGGACUAAUCAUCUACUUGUGAGGUGAUGUUGAGAAUUAGAUUGAGAGUAAAAAAAUGAAUUUGCUAUCAUUUGAUUACUAGCAGAAAUAUUUCUAUUUGGUAAGUGUCUUGAAUGUCAUUGUGCAACUGAGAAUUGGCAUGGCAUGUUUAGGAUUAUCAUGUCUAUUAUUUCAUCUAUUUUUUUAAAUGAUCGUUAGGAGCAUGAUGUUUUAGGUCGACUAUACUCGGAUAGGCAAGCCUUAGGAUUUUAUUAGUUUCGAGGCAAGAGAUCGUUUUCUUAGUUAAAUUUAUCCGGGGAAUGCCCCGUGAGAUUUGUAUAUAUUAUUAUCGGGGGAAUGCCUCGAAGUGAAUGUAAAUGAAGGCCAAAGACGAAGUAACUCGAGGAAGCAUAGAAUAGUACUUUACUUUUGCUUGUUUUUCCUUUAUUAGGUGGGGAGGACCUCGAACCUCUUUGAUUGUUUAGUCUCUUUUUGCGUGUUUUUGCCUCAAUUUGAAUAUUUUAAAAGCCAACUAGAUCGAGUACGCAACCAUGACGUUCACGGGACUUGGGGAGUGCGUAACACCUUCUCCCCGAGUCAAAUGAACUCCCUUACCCUAAUCUCUGGUGUAGACUUAAUUUUGAGUUCAAAUGUUUUAAAAGGAGAAAAUGGUUUCUAAGAAACGGUGACCUGACACACCAAAAUUAAAUGUCAAGUGGCUGAUUCUGAGUUUAUUUCCUUUAGAAACAUAAUUUUUGUUACUUUCAAAAUUGAAAACCCUUUUCAAGCUUUUAUUAAAUCUUUUUAUUUACUUAAGAGGGUUUAAUGAAGUGUAUGGUUAAAAAAGGGGUGUGACACCCCCUUUUGUCACGUGACUUGAACAUUGAGAUUCACGUUGAUCGUGAAAUGCAUUUGACUGAUCUAAUUGCAGGGGUUGUUCCACUUUGUUACCAUCUCUUUUGCUG
Molecule: long non-coding RNA, 1670 nt
Filed under: Nicotiana benthamiana
Lineage: Eukaryota; Viridiplantae; Streptophyta; Magnoliopsida; Solanales; Solanaceae
Description: long non-coding RNA (NBEN_LNC022491)
Source: RNAcentral